GAUGAACGCUGGCGGCGUGCCUAAUACAUGCAAGUCGAGCGAACAGACGAGGAGCUUGCUCCUCUGACGUUAGCGGCGGACGGGUGAGUAACACGUGGAUAACCUACCUAUAAGACUGGGAUAACUUCGGGAAACCGGAGCUAAUACCGGAUAAUAUAUUGAACCGCAUGGUUCAAUGGUGAAAUACGGUUUUGCUGUCUCUUAUAGAUGGAUCCGCGCCGCAUUAUCUAGUUGGUAAGGUAACGGCUUACCAAGGCAACGAUGCGUAGCCGACCUGAGAGGGGGAUCGGACACACUGGAAGGGAGACACGGUCCAGAGGACUAAGGGAGGGAGCAGUAGGGAAGCUUACGCAAUGGGCGAAAGCAUGACGGAGCAACGCGGAGUGAGAGAUGAAGGUCUUCGGAUCGUAAAACUCUGUUAUUAGGGAAGAACAAAUGUGUAAGUAACUAUGCACGUAGUGACGGUAACUAAUCAGAAAGCCACGGCUAACUACGUG
This 497-nucleotide ribosomal RNA is filed under the name uncultured bacterium. Its description in RNAcentral is "partial 16S ribosomal RNA". It matches the Rfam family "Bacterial small subunit ribosomal RNA", at positions 28 to 507 of the family's 1533-position model. The record is from RNAcentral.